UGGGGAAUCUUCCGCAAUGGGCGAAAGCCUGACGGAGCAACGCCGCGUGAGUGAAGACGGCCUUCGGGUUGUAAAGCUCUGUUAUACGGGACGAACGGCAGUAUAGUUAAUACCUAUAGUGCGUGACGGUACCGUAAGAGAAAGCCACGGCUAACUACGUGCCAGCAGCCGCGGUAAUACGUAGGUGGCAAGCGUUGUCCGGAAUUAUUGGGCGUAAAGGGCGCGCAGGCGGUCUUAUUAGUCGGUCUUAAAAGUGCGGGGCUUAACCCCGUGAUGGGAUCGAAACUGUAAGACUGGAGUGUCGGAGAGGAAAGCGGAAUUCCUAGUGUAGCGGUGAAAUGCGUAGAUAUUAGGAGGAACACCAGUGGCGAAAGCGGCUUUCUGGACGACAACUGACGCU
RNAcentral lists this ribosomal RNA (400 nucleotides) under uncultured bacterium. RNAcentral describes it as "bacterial SSU rRNA". It matches the Rfam family "Bacterial small subunit ribosomal RNA", at positions 355 to 747 of the family's 1533-position model. The record is from RNAcentral.